Molecule: non-coding RNA, 69 nt
Organism: Rattus norvegicus (Norway rat)
Lineage: Eukaryota; Metazoa; Chordata; Mammalia; Rodentia; Muridae
Source: Rfam
GGAGAUUUAGCUCAGUGGUAGAGCGCUUGCCUAGCAAGCUCAAGGCUCUGGGUUCGAUCCCCUGCUCCA